CCUGUGCAUCGCUCCGUCGCCGCGCAUUGCAGAUGCGAGGAGGAAAGUCCGGGCAGCGAAGGGCACCGUGCUUCCUAACGGGAAGGGGUGCUACUGGGAACGGUAGUGCUACGGAAAGUGCCGCAGAAAGGGAAACCGCCCAUGCCGACUUUGUCGGCAGGCAAGGAUGAAAAGGUGAGGUAAGAGCUCACCAGUGCCCUGUGCGAGCAGGGCAGCUUGGUAAACCCCACGGGCUGAAAGACCAAAUAGGCCGGGAAGUGCUGCCGCAAGGCAGGGCAGCGGGCGGCUCGUUCGCUCCCGGCGGGUAGGUCGAUAGAGGUCCGUCGCAAGGCGGAUCCUGGAUAGAUGACGGAGACCUUUCAUUUCGGUGGGAGGGACAGAACCCGGCUUACAGAUGCACAGGCCAU
RNAcentral lists this RNase P RNA (407 nucleotides) under Flavobacteriales bacterium. Its description in RNAcentral is "RNase P RNA component class A". It matches the Rfam family "Bacterial RNase P class A". Rfam says of the family: Ribonuclease P (RNase P) is a ubiquitous endoribonuclease, found in archaea, bacteria and eukarya as well as chloroplasts and mitochondria. Its best characterised activity is the generation of mature 5'-ends of tRNAs by cleaving the 5'-leader elements of precursor-tRNAs. Cellular RNase Ps are ribonucleoproteins. The record is from RNAcentral. Lineage: Bacteria; Pseudomonadati; Bacteroidota; Flavobacteriia; Flavobacteriales.